This 601-nucleotide ribosomal RNA is filed under the name Cortinarius malachius. Its description in RNAcentral is "eukaryotic LSU rRNA". It matches the Rfam family "Eukaryotic large subunit ribosomal RNA", at positions 1 to 599 of the family's 3401-position model. The record is from RNAcentral. Lineage: Eukaryota; Fungi; Basidiomycota; Agaricomycetes; Agaricales; Cortinariaceae.
GUGACCUCAAAUCAGGUAGGACUACCCGCUGAACUUAAGCAUAUCAAUAAGCGGAGGAAAAGAAACUAACAAGGAUUCCCCUAGUAACUGCGAGUGAAGCGGGAAAAGCUCAAAUUUAAAAUCUGGCGGUCUUUUGGCUGUCCGAGUUGUAAUCUAGAGAAGUGUUAUCCGCGCUGGACCGUGUACAAGUCUCCUGGAAUGGAGCAUCAUAGAGGGUGAGAAUCCCGUCUUUGACAUGGACUGCCAGGGCUUUGUGAUGCGCUCUCAAAGAGUCGAGUUGUUUGGGAAUGCAGCUCAAAAUGGGUGGUAAAUUCCAUCUAAAGCUAAAUAUUGGCGAGAGACCGAUAGCGAACAAGUACCGUGAGGGAAAGAUGAAAAGAACUUUGGAAAGAGAGUUAAACAGUACGUGAAAUUGCUGAAAGGGAAACGCUUGAAGUCAGUCGCGUCAUCCAGGGAUCAACCUUGCUUUUGCUUGGUGCACUUUCUGGUUUGAUGGGUCAGCAUCAAUUUUGACUGUUGGAAAAAGGUCAAGGGAAUGUGGCAUCUUUGGAUGUGUUUAUAGCCCUUGGUCACAUACAAUGGUUGGGAUUGAGGAACUCAG